This 371-nucleotide ribosomal RNA is filed under the name uncultured bacterium. RNAcentral's name for it is "bacterial SSU rRNA". It matches the Rfam family "Bacterial small subunit ribosomal RNA", at positions 527 to 896 of the family's 1533-position model. The record is from RNAcentral.
GUAGGUGGCGAGCGUUGUCCGGAUUUACUGGGCGUAAGGAGCGCGCAGGCGGUCGUACAAGUCGCGUGUGAAAGCCCCCGGCUCAACUGGGGAGGGUCACGCGAUACUGUUCGACUCGAAGGCAGGAGAGGGAAGCGGAAUUCCCGGUGUAGUGGUGAAAUGCGUAGAUAUCGGGAGGAACACCAGUGGCGAAGGCGGCUUCCUGGCCUGUUCUUGACGCUGAGGCGCGAAAGCUAGGGGAGCAAACGGGAUUAGAUACCCCGGUAGUCCUAGCCGUAAACGAUGGACACUAGGUGUUGGUGGUAUCAACCCCGCCAGUGCCGAAGCUAACGCAUUAAGUGUCCCGCCUGGGGAGUACGGCCGCAAGGCUA